This 240-nucleotide unclassified non-coding RNA is filed under the name soil metagenome. RNAcentral describes it as "partial contains 5.8S ribosomal RNA, internal transcribed spacer 2, and large subunit ribosomal RNA". The record is from RNAcentral.
AACGCACGAGACCUGCGGACCUGCGGAGGGAUCAUUAAAGAGUUUAACUACUCAAACCAUUGUGAACCUUACCUCAACCGUUGCUUCGGCGGGCGGGCCCGGGCCAAGCCCGGCGCCCCCCCGGCCCCUCGCGGGCGCCCGCCGGAGGUUAACCGAACCCUUGAAUUGUAUGGCCUCUCUGAGUCUUCUGUACUGAAUAAGUCAAAACUUUCAGCAAUGGAUCUCUAGAUCGGAAGAGCA